RNAcentral lists this long non-coding RNA (366 nucleotides) under Vigna radiata. RNAcentral describes it as "long non-coding RNA (VRAD_LNC017753)". The record is from RNAcentral. Lineage: Eukaryota; Viridiplantae; Streptophyta; Magnoliopsida; Fabales; Fabaceae.
GAUGUAUUGCAGUCUGGCUGUAUUGCACCUACAUAAAGCACUUUAAACAAACCACCGUGAUACCAUCAACAGACCAGAAACGAGUUGUGACACUGCCAGAAAGUGACUCAAAAUGAUAGCAGCACAAGUCUUUUUAUCAAACAGCUUGUGUGCCAGAUUGCCAAUAACUCAAAAAACAAGCAAUUACUCGGGUAACAAUCAAGGAAGCACCUGAAAAUGAUCCUAGGAUUAGUUCUAGAGUGGAUUAAAAGAACAAGAAAAGAUCACAAGUCGAAAUUGAGCUGAAAUCAGUGGUGCAGUGCAAUGUUUACAAACUGUUUGUGAAAAUGUCAUAAAGACAUAUAAGUUUGAUGCAGAAUUAUGAAU